This 274-nucleotide ribosomal RNA is filed under the name uncultured bacterium. Its description in RNAcentral is "partial 16S ribosomal RNA". It matches the Rfam family "Bacterial small subunit ribosomal RNA", at positions 523 to 796 of the family's 1533-position model. The record is from RNAcentral.
AUACGGAGGGUGCGAGCGUUAAUCGGAAUUACUGGGCGUAAAGGGCGCGUAGGCGGACUAUUAAGUUGGAUGUGGAAUCCCUGGGCUUAACCUAGGAACUGCAUUCAAGACUGAUAGACUAGAGUACAGUAGAGGGAAGUGGAAUUUCCGGUGUAGCGGUGAAAUGCGUAGAUAUCGGAAGGAACACCAGUGGCGAAGGCGACUGCCUGCGCCAAUACUGACGCUAAGGUGCGAAAGCGUGGGGAGCAAACAGGAUUAGAAACCCCUGUAGUCC